RNAcentral lists this ribosomal RNA (438 nucleotides) under uncultured bacterium. Its description in RNAcentral is "partial 16S ribosomal RNA". It matches the Rfam family "Bacterial small subunit ribosomal RNA", at positions 339 to 795 of the family's 1533-position model. The record is from RNAcentral.
CUACGGGAGGCACCAGUGGGGAAUAUUGCACAAUGGACGAAGGUCUGAUGCAGCAACGCCGCGUGGAGGAUGACACAUUUCGGUGCGUAAACUCCUUUUAUAUAGGAAGAUAAUGACGGUACUAUAUGAAUAAGCGCCGGCUAACUCCGUGCCAGCAGCCGCGGUAAUACGGAGGGCGCAAGCGUUACUCGGAAUCACUGGGCGUAAAGAGCGUGUAGGCGGAUAGAUAAGUCAGGAGUGAAAUCCUAUGGCUCAACCAUAGAACUGCUCUUGAAACUGUCUAUCUAGAAUAUGGGAGAGGUAGAUGGAAUUUCUGGUGUAGGGGUAAAAUCCGUAGAGAUCAGAAGGAAUACCGAUUGCGAAGGCGAUCUACUGGAACAUUAUUGACGCUGAGACGCGAAAGCGUGGGGAGCAAACAGGAUUAGAUACCGAGUAGUC